Molecule: unclassified non-coding RNA, 240 nt
Filed under: soil metagenome
Description: partial contains 5.8S ribosomal RNA, internal transcribed spacer 2, and large subunit ribosomal RNA
Source: RNAcentral
AACGCACGAGACCUGCGGACCUGCGGAAGGAUCAUUACCGAAGUGGAUGUGGCUGUGGGUUGGCGCGGGCCGGUCUGCAGCCGCACAUUCGUGCUGGGGAGGUGAGGGUGUGGGUGUGGGUGGGGGUGGCCGCGUCGCAGCGGUGUCGCAGCGGUGUCGCAGCAUCGUUGCGGUGCCGCCGCGUCGUUUCCGGUCCCGUCUGCCCGCCCUCGCUUCCGGUGCACAUCUGCGCUUGAUUGU